RNAcentral lists this ribosomal RNA (418 nucleotides) under uncultured Glomeromycotina. Its description in RNAcentral is "SSU rRNA". It matches the Rfam family "Eukaryotic small subunit ribosomal RNA", at positions 569 to 989 of the family's 1831-position model. Lineage: Eukaryota; Fungi; Glomeromycota. The record is from RNAcentral.
AGCAGCCGCGGUAAUUCCAGCUCCAAUAGCGUAUAUUAAAGUUGUUGCAGUUAAAAAGCUCGUAGUUGAAUUUCGGGGUUAGUAGGUUGGUCAUGCCUCUGGUAUGUACUGGUCUCACUGAUUCCUCCUUCCUGAUGAACCUUAAUGCCAUUAAUUUGGUGUUUUGGGGAAUUUGGACUGUUACUUUGAAAAAAAUUAGAGUGUUUAAAGCAGGCUAACGCCUGAAUACAUUAGCAUGGAAUAAUGAAAUAGGACGUUCGAUCCUAUUUUGUUGGUUUCUAGGAUUGACGUAAUGAUUAAUAGGGAUAGUUGGGGGCAUUAGUAUUCAAUUGUCAGAGGUGAAAUUCUUGGAUUUAUUGAAGACUAACUGCUGCGAAAGCAUUUGCCAAGGAUGUUUUCUAUUAAUCAAGAACGGAAG